GAUGAUGACGGUACCAUCAGAAGAAGCCCCGGCUAACUUCGUGCCAGCAGCCGCGGUAAUACGAAGGGGGCUAGCGUUGUUCGGAAUUACUGGGCGUAAAGCGCGCCUAGGCGGCUUUGUCAGUCAGGGGUGAAAUCCCGGGGCUUAACCUCGGAACUGCCUUUGAUACUGCAAGGCUUGAGUCUGUGAGAGGAUGGUGGAAUACCCAGUGUAGAGGUGAAAUUCGUAGAUAUGGGGUGGAAAACAAGCGGAGAAGGUAGUAU
This 263-nucleotide ribosomal RNA is filed under the name uncultured bacterium. RNAcentral's name for it is "partial 16S ribosomal RNA". It matches the Rfam family "Bacterial small subunit ribosomal RNA", at positions 465 to 728 of the family's 1533-position model. The record is from RNAcentral.